This 665-nucleotide long non-coding RNA is filed under the name Marmota monax (woodchuck). The record is from RNAcentral. Lineage: Eukaryota; Metazoa; Chordata; Mammalia; Rodentia; Sciuridae.
AAUUGCUCCAGGGAGACACAAAAGCAAAAACAUUUGUCCUAUUUUUUUAACCUCUUUGUUUUAGAUUUUUUUUUCAUCCAUUCUUUAAAUUUCACAGUUUCUAUUUGUCUGCAGAGAGACAAACGGAACAGCAUGAAGCACAUUUUACCGUAGGCCUCACUGGCAAUUGGAACAGCCUCAAUAGAAAUCCAAAUUCUAAAAACACUGGCUGACUUGGAGGAUAUGUGAAAUUUCAGCUCUGGGCUCUGAAGUCAGAUUAGCACAGAUUUUUUGAACAAAAAUGCACUACAAUGAAAAGAUAAGAAAAUGGGAUUCUAGAAUUAUUUGGAGGAAAGCACGAACAGGGUCAUCUCUUUUUUUUGUUGUUUAUUUUCUAGUUUUCUGGCCUCUACUUAGAAGCGGCUGUUUGAUAGAGAAAAAUUACAAACCUACAUGAAAUUCUUCCUUAAAACAAAACCUGGUCCUGGUUGUUUUGGGUCUGAUAUACUAUUAAAUGGGUUGUUCAGACUCGUAACUGGAAGAACUGUGGUGUAUAUACUAUGGAAUUGAUACUGUGUUAAGAUUUAAAAAAAAUAGGAUUUAUGUAAACAGGCAAUAUCCCCUCCCCCUUUCUUUUCCUCUCCUGUUUCCUGUUUCCUUUAUUCUGCCUCCAACCUGCUUCCCCU